RNAcentral lists this unclassified non-coding RNA (655 nucleotides) under Hevea brasiliensis (rubber tree). The record is from RNAcentral. Lineage: Eukaryota; Viridiplantae; Streptophyta; Magnoliopsida; Malpighiales; Euphorbiaceae.
GUUUUCUGCAGUUCUGUCCUCUCCUUCAUCCUCUUCCACUUCCACUUUCCCACUCAGAUAUUCCUCUCUUUCAUCAGUAGCCAAUCUUUCAUCACUUCCACUUACCAUUGGAUGCAGAAGCACAAGUAAAAAAUCAACACACAACAACUGCUCCAUCAAAGUCCAAGUGUCAUCAAGGAUGAUUGAGAAGGAAACCCCAGAAACUGAACGACCACAUACAUUUCUAAGAGAAUCUGAUGAAGGGUCAUCGGGGGAUGAGUCGAAUUCGGUUAGAGCACGUUUUGAGAAGAUGAUUAGGGAGGUUCAAGACAGUGUUUGUGCUGCUUUGGAAGAUGUAGAUGGAGGGGGUAAAUUCAAGGAAGAUGUUUGGUCCAGGCCUGGUGGGGGUGGUGGGAUUAGUAGGGUAUUGCAAGAUGGGAAUGUUUUUGAGAAGGCUGGUGUUAAUGUUUCUGUUGUUUAUGGUGUUAUGCCUCCUGAAGCUUAUCGAGCUGCUAGGCCAGUUGAUAAUGGAAAUACUAAACCUGGUCCUAUCCCCUUUUUUGCUGCUGGCGUUAGCUCGGUUAUACAUCCAAAAAACCCCUUUGCACCAACUGUACAUUUCAAUUAUCGCUACUUCGAGACUGAUGCUCCUAAAGAUACUCCAGGAGCACCUAGG